GACGAACGCUGGCGGCGUGCUUAACACAUGCAAGUCGAACGGAAAGGCCCUGCUUUUGUGGGGUGCUCGAGUGGCGAACGGGUGAGUAACACGUGAGUAACCUGCCCUUGACUUUGGGAUAACUUCAGGAAACUGGGGCUAAUACCGGAUAGGAGCUCCUGCUGCAUGGUGGGGGUUGGAAAGUUUCGGCGGUUGGGGAUGGACUCGCGGCUUAUCAGCUUGUUGGUGGGGUAGUGGCUUACCAAGGCUUUGACGGGUAGCCGGCCUGAGAGGGUGACCGGGCACAUUGGGACUGAGGGACGGCCCAGACGCCUACGGGAGGCAGCAGUGGGGAAUAUUGCACAAUGGGCGGAAGCCUGAUGCAGCAACGCCGCGUGCGGGAUGACGGCCUUCGGGUUGUAAACCGCUUUCGCCUGUGACGAAGCGUGAGUGACGGUAAUGGGUAAGGAAGCACCGGCUAACUACGUG
Molecule: ribosomal RNA, 468 nt
Filed under: uncultured bacterium
Lineage: Bacteria
Description: partial 16S ribosomal RNA
Rfam family: Bacterial small subunit ribosomal RNA
Source: RNAcentral